This 465-nucleotide ribosomal RNA is filed under the name uncultured bacterium. Its description in RNAcentral is "partial 16S ribosomal RNA". It matches the Rfam family "Bacterial small subunit ribosomal RNA", at positions 28 to 507 of the family's 1533-position model. The record is from RNAcentral.
GACGAACGCUGGCGGCGUGCUUAACACAUGCCAGUCGAACGGAAAGGCCCUGCUUGCAGGGUACUCGAGUGGCGAACGGGUGAGUAACACGUGGGUGAUCUGCCCUGCACUUCGGGAUAAGCCUGGGAAACUGGGUCUAAUACCGGAUAGGAGCCAUUUUUAGUGUGAUGGUUGGAAAGUUUUUUCGGUGUAGGAUGAGCUCGCGGCCUAUCAGCUUGUUGGUGGGGUAAUGGCCUACCAAGGCGGCGACGGGUAGCCGGCCUGAGAGGGUGGACGGCCACAUUGGGACUGAGAUACGGCCCAGACUCCUACGGGAGGCAGCAUUGGGGAAUAUUGCACAAUGGGCGCAAGCCUGAUGCAGCGACGCCGCGUGGGGGAUGACGGCCUUCGGGUUGUAAACUCCUUUCGCUAGGGACGAAGCUUUUUGUGACGGUACCUAGAUAAGAAGCACCGGCUAACUACGUG